UGAAUAGUAAAAUGAAGCUUCUAACUUCAAAGAUAGCGAUAGCUACUAUUUAU
RNAcentral lists this transfer RNA (53 nucleotides) under Hypsosinga pygmaea. Its description in RNAcentral is "tRNA-Ser". Lineage: Eukaryota; Metazoa; Arthropoda; Arachnida; Araneae; Araneidae. The record is from RNAcentral.